RNAcentral lists this ribosomal RNA (377 nucleotides) under uncultured bacterium. RNAcentral describes it as "bacterial SSU rRNA". It matches the Rfam family "Bacterial small subunit ribosomal RNA", at positions 523 to 898 of the family's 1533-position model. The record is from RNAcentral.
AUACGUAGGGGGCGAGCGUUGUCCGGAAUUACUGGGUGUAAAGGGCGUGUAGGCGGGGAUGCAAGUUAUCGGUAAAAACCCGAAGCUCAACUUCGGGCUUGCCGCUAAAACUGUAUCUCUUGAGUGCAGGAGAGGGAAAUGGAAUUCCCGGAGUAGCGGUGAAAUGCGUAGAUACCGGGAGGAACACCAGUGGCGAAGGCGGUUUCCUGGCCUGCAACUGACGCUGAGGCGCGAAAGCUAGGUUAGCGAACGGGAUUAGAUACCCCGGUAGUCCUAGCUGUAAACGAUGGUCACUAGGUGUGGGUGGUGGUCAAGCCAUCCGUGCCGGAGUUAACGCAUUAAGUGACCCACCUGGGGAGUACGGCCGCAAGGCUGAA